Molecule: long non-coding RNA, 250 nt
Filed under: Chinchilla lanigera (long-tailed chinchilla)
Lineage: Eukaryota; Metazoa; Chordata; Mammalia; Rodentia; Chinchillidae
Description: lncRNA (ENSCLAG00000028547.1)
Source: RNAcentral
UCAGGACAGGUUUUGUUCUGUGAGGAUGCCCUCAGCUGAGGUGUUGGAUGAGGAGGGAACUGUCAAUUGCCAAGAUUAUGUCAGAAAUCACUUCCAGAAGUUUGGUUCAGAGAUUAUAGUCACUGGAAGCUAUUUUAUUAUGUUGGUAAUGAAUAUAAGAAGAGACAGGGAAAUCUUUUCUAGGGAGUUAAGCGUGUUUCAAUAAGAAAACUGCAUGUUCUUAGAAAUAAAUGAAAUUAAACAACCCUAC